This 72-nucleotide transfer RNA is filed under the name Camelus bactrianus (Bactrian camel). It matches the Rfam family "tRNA". From Rfam's summary of the family: Transfer RNA (tRNA) molecules are approximately 80 nucleotides in length. Their secondary structure includes four short double-helical elements and three loops (D, anti-codon, and T loops). RNAcentral also lists the same sequence under 2 other names. Lineage: Eukaryota; Metazoa; Chordata; Mammalia; Artiodactyla; Camelidae. The record is from Rfam by way of RNAcentral.
GGGGGUAUAGCUCAGUGGUAGAGCACAUGCUUAGCACGCACAGGGUCCUGGGCUCAAUCCUCAGUACCUCCA